GGUUGUUGAUCAAAUCUUUUCACUUUUCUUUCAUAUCUUUCAAAGUUUUUUCUUCAGAUAUUUCUCUAAUUUUUGCUUUAGUAUUUUUAUAGCAUCGAUUUGCUAGGUGUCCUUCUUGAUUGCAUUUAUAACAAACUAGAAGUUUUCUUUUUGGGUAUUCAGUCUUUACUUUGUUCCUUUUAGAAUAUGGUUUAGAAGAACUUUUCUAUUUCUUUGAAGAU
Molecule: long non-coding RNA, 221 nt
Filed under: Elaeis guineensis (African oil palm)
Lineage: Eukaryota; Viridiplantae; Streptophyta; Magnoliopsida; Arecales; Arecaceae
Description: long non-coding RNA (EGUI_LNC056566)
Source: RNAcentral